GCGUUAUCCGGAUUCACUGGGUUUAAAGGGUGCGUAUGUGGGUAUGUAAGUCAGUGGUGAAAUCUCUGAGCUUAACUCAGAAACUGCCAUUGAUACUAUGUUUCUUGAAUUUUCUGGAGGUCAGCGGAAUAUGUCAUGUAGUGGUGAAAUGCUUAGAUAUGACAUAGAGCACCAAUUGCGAAGGCAGCUGGCUACAGGGAUAUUGACACUGAGGCACGAAAGCGUG
This 226-nucleotide ribosomal RNA is filed under the name uncultured bacterium. RNAcentral's name for it is "partial 16S ribosomal RNA". It matches the Rfam family "Bacterial small subunit ribosomal RNA", at positions 538 to 763 of the family's 1533-position model. The record is from RNAcentral.